Long non-coding RNA from Pongo pygmaeus (Bornean orangutan), 11212 nucleotides. RefSeq lists it as uncharacterized. The record is from RefSeq and is a predicted model, not a curated record. The transcript is spliced from 3 exons. NCBI's taxonomy places the organism in Eukaryota, Metazoa, Chordata, Mammalia, Primates, Hominidae.
GGCCCACCUGCCUGAAAUCUUCACUCAGUGGCUAGGUCAUCCUCUCUAGAGGGCUACAAUUAAAAUUAAUGUGUUAUAAUUUGCACUGGUGUGCAUUCAUUCGUCUGAGAAUUCUACAGUCAGAAGACACUUUGCAUACCACUGUGGUCUAACUUCCUUUUCCAGUUGGGACAACUGGACCAUCAGCUCCAGGAGAUUGUGUUUUAUUCCUCUGAUUCUUGCCUAGCACUGUGCCGUGGCUUCUGAUGGUGCCUAAAAAAGCAUCCCUGUUUGAGGCUGCCACUGCAACAUCUACCUCCAAGAGUACUUGGAGUAUGUCAUCCCAUUGCCUUCUGGAAACCAUAGUUUCUGAUAAGAAAUCAAUUAUUCCUCUUAUCAAGGACCCCUUUAGAUGAGAUCAUAUGACUGGAUCCCUCAUGAUGAGAUGAGUGCCCCCAAAAGAAGACACCAGAGAGCUUGCUUCUCUUUCCACACGCAUGCUCCAAAGAAAGGCCAUGCCAGAGCACAGAGAGAAGGAGAGCUCCCACCAGAACCUGGCAAAGUGUGCUGCUGGCAUGCUUGUCUCAUAAUUCUGCCCUCCAGGACUGUGAGAAAAUAAGUUUCUGUUGCUUAAACCGCCUAGUCUAUGGGAAUUUAUUAUGGAAGCCCAAGAAGACUAACACAAAUUUUGGUACCAGGAAGUGGAGUGCUGAUGCAACAAAUACCUAAACAUGCGUAAGUGGCUUUAGAAGUGGGCAAUGGAUAGACGAUGGAAAAGUUUUGAGGUGUAUGCUAGAAGAAGCCAAAAUUGCAGUGAAGUAUUUAAGGCAGUUGGAGUGAGGGCGCAGAAAGAAAAGAGAACAGCUAAGGGGAAUUAUCUGUCUUUCUAGAGAUAUAAUAAUAUAAUAAAUAAUCAUGAAGAGAAUGUUGAUAUCAAUAUGGAUGUUGAAGGCCAUUCUGUUGAGUUCUCAAAUGAAAAUGAGGAAAAAAAUUACUGGAAAAUGGAAGAAAAGUGAUCCUUUUAUAAAGUGACAUAGCACUUGGAUUAACCAUGUUCUAGUGUUUUGUGAAAUUGAUAUUUUUGACAAACAAAAUUAGAUAAUAUUUAGAUAAGACUUUGGAUUUUGCAAGUGAUAAAAUUAGAUAAUUAGCUAAGGAGAUACCUAAGCAAAGUGUUGAAGGAGUGGCUUGGUUCUUCCUGUUUAUGGUAAAAUGUGAAAGGAGAGAGAGAAAUUGAAGAAGAAAUUGUUAAGCAUAAAGGAACCAGAGUUGAAGAUUUGGAAAGUUUUCAGCCUAUCUCUAUUGCAAAAAAAUAAAAAAGCCUGUUGUGAAGACAACAGGAAGGGUGUGGUUGAACAAUUAUUUGAUAAAGAGAUCGUGGUAAUGACUCAUGGACUGAAUCAGCCAUCUCAGAAGAGGCCAGGAAUAGAGAUCAAUUAUACAAGCAAAAACACUGUCAAUUUGAACUAAGGGGUCAGAAACAAAUGAGAUGAAAUAAAGGCUGCCAGACUUUUAGAUCUUGCAAGACCAGACCGGAGAGCUAUUUGGCUGUAACUUUGUGCUUUUCAUGAAAAUGAAGUAGUGACCCCAAAGGCAAUUCAGAGAUCAUCAGGUCAAUGUCCUUUGUGGCAAAGGGUGGGACCAUUGCCUCAGUUUCAAUAGGCCAUAUGGCCUCUGAUUAAAGCCUGGGGAUGUGGCCUUGGAGACAGGGCUGUGUAAAAGCCUGGAGGCAGGAUCCACUAUCCCUGUAGGUCUUAAAUGGCAUUAAAUGAAAAAGAGAUAUCUUGAGCCUUAAGAGCUAAUGGAAUUUGCCUUGGUUGGUUUUGGACGUUCUUGUGGCCUGUCUCUCGUUCCUUCUUUCUUAAUUUUUCCUUUUGGAAUGGGAAUGGCUAUCUCAUGCCUAUUCCACUAUCUGUUAUAAUUUGGAAGCACAUAACUUUUAUGGUUUUACAGGUUUACAGCUGGAGAAUAAUUUUGAUUUUUGGGAUAAGCCUUACUUAUAUUUGAUUUAGAUACUAUUUAGAUGAGACUUUGUACUUUAGAAUUGAUGCUGGAAUCUGUUAAGACUUUUGAGGCUUUUGGGAUAAAAUUAAGGUAUUUUGCAUGUGAGAAGGACAUCUUGGGGGUCCAGGGCAGAAUGUAUGAACUGAAUAUAUGUGUGCCACUCAAAGUUAUAUGUUAAUAUGAUGCUAUUCAGAGAUGAGGCUUUUGGGUGCAUAAAUAAGUUUAGAUGAGAUCAUAUGAAUGGGAACUCAUGAUGGGAUUAGUGCCCUUAAAAGAAGAGAUACCAGAGAUGUUGCUCUGUCUCUGUGCAUGUGAACCAAAGGAGUGCACAGUGAGAAAGAAGCCUGGAAAAGAGGCUUCAAAAACUUCACCAUGCUGGACCAUUCUAGCCUCCAGGACUGUGAGAAAAUAAAUUUAUGUUGUUCAAGUGAUCAGUCUCUGGUAUUUUGUUAUGGCAGCCCAAGCACACAGACACUAUGGACAAUUCAUUCACCACAUUUUCCAUGUAAGGUUUUGGUCAGCUUCUUGUUUGCCCAAAUUUUAUAGAAGCCUCAGGUAGCUGAUAUUAAGCAGUUACCAUGGAUGGUUUUUGACCGAUGUCCUGGGGAAACGUUGUUUACAAGGAGUUAUCUCUGAGUCCGGUCAAGUAAAGACAAACCCUGCUAGUAGAGGUUUCCAGGAAACUACCAGCCAGAUCAAAUAAUAACAACUGGUAAGGGCAUUUUUGAGGAGUUUCAAAACUGUUUUUCCCUCUCUUUUGGUUGGUAGGCUGCUGGUUUUUUUAUGGCUAUGCUUAUCACUGCUAUCAUAUUUACCAAGCUGUUGGUUUUCAAAGCUAUUGUAGAGCUGAGAAGAGAGGAUGGGAGUAGCGCAAGUUAAAACACCAGAAAGGUCACUGUUCUCAUUGAGAUUCAGCUGUUUUUUCUUUAAUAAAGAAUCUUUGAAUUUCUCUGUUGGUUAGUUGACAGAGUUCUUAAAAUGUUGAUUUAGUGUUUUCAUUGCCAUUAUGGAGGAGCAGAUAUUUGGAAGCCUUUCACUGCAGCAUUCUUGCAAUGUCCCAACACCCUAACUCAAUUAAUUUUUGUUGAGUAUAUUAAUUUAAUUGACUUUUUGUUGUCUCUCUAACAUUGGUUUUAUCCUUAUCUAUUAAUGUAAGGUGGGAUUUGGAGCUGGUUUCACACUCAGAUCCAGGGAUGACCCCUAAUUGUUCAAAGCCAACAUUCUCACUCUGAACACUAUUGAAAUUUUGGGUCCAAUACUUCACUGUUCUGGGCGUUGUAGGAUCCUUAACAAUAUCCCUGGACUCUACCAACUAGAGGCUAGUAACACUGUUGCAGUUGUGACAAUCAAAAGUUUUCCAGACAUUACCAAAUGUCCCCUGCUGGACAAAAUUGCCUCAGACUGAGAAUCACUGUUCUAACCAAAUUAAUAUAGUUUCAUUAUUAUAAACACAAAAAUUGAUUCAGGUAAACAAAACUUAUGUCCUAAAGCGUAUGUCAAUCCCCUGAUCACAGUUAUUAGUUCAGGAAUGGAAAUGUAACCAAUUCAAGCCAGGGAGGUAUGAGAGAAGGUUGCUGGAAACAACUAGAGGAAGUUUCUUUUUUUCUGUUUUUUGUUUGGGUUGUGUGAGGAUGUGAAAUCCAUUGGAUGACCAGCCUUAAAAGGAAUCUAAAAAUGACACAUAACGUGUGAUAUGUUUUGGGUGUGUGUCCCCUCAACAUCUCAUGUUGAAAUGUGACCUCCAAAGUUGGAGGUGUCUAGUGGGAGGUGUUUGAGUCAUAGGAGCAGAUUCCUCAUGAAUGGCUUGGUACCAUCUUUUUGGUGUUGAGUGAGUUCUCACUAUAUUAGUUCACUCAAGAGCUGGUUGUUUAAAGAGCCUGGCACCUCCUCCCUGCUCUCUUGUUCCCUCUUGCCAUGUGAUCUGUGGGCUCCCCCUAUGCCUUCCACCAUGAUUGUAAGCUUCCUGAGGCCUCACCAGAAGCCAAGCAGAUGCUGGUGCCAUGCUUGCAUAACCUGCAGAACUAUGAGCCAAAUAAAACUCUUUUGGUUAUACAUUACCCAGUCUCAGGUAUUCCACUAUAGUAAUGCAAAGUGUGGUAAUACAAUGUGUCUGACACUGAGUAGAUAUUAAGGGUCAUUAUUAUAGCACUGAUUGGGCUUAUGGCAUGACCUUUGCUCUUCCUGUGAGACCUAUUUUAUUCAAACUCUUUGAACUUAAAGGUGCUCCUAAAUGUUGUAAGGGAUUCUACCUCCAUAAUGUCUCUUUCAAGUUUAGUUCUUUUUCAUAUCAACACUCUAAUUCCCAUUUUACUUCUUAAUUCUUAAUUGGUUAAGUGGAAUUCUUUUCAUAAAAUGCUCUGAUUUUUCCUCUCUCCACCUUAUCCUGCCAUCCUUAGUUAUUUUUCUAAAGUGCACCUCUGAUUUUAUCACUGCUCUGUUCAAAAUGUUUCAAUGAUUUCUUUACUAUCUACCGAUUAAACCCUGUAUCUCAGCCUGUUUUUCAAUUUGACUAAAACCAAAUUUUCAAACCUAUGAACCUCUACUUUUCUUCUAUGAUCUAGUCUUUUAACCAAAUGAGAAUUCUCACAGUUUCCAGAGUAAGGUCUUAUGUUUCUUGUCUCUGUUCUCUCUCUCUCUCAAUCUCUCUCUUCCUCUCUUUCUCUUUUUCUUUCUUUCUUUCUCUCUUUCUUUCUUUCUUUCCUUCUUUCUUUCUCUUUCUCUCUCUCUCUUUCUUUCUUUUUCUUUCUUUCUUUCUUUCUUUCUUUCUUUCUUUCUUUCUUUCUUUCUUUCUUUCUUUCUCCCUCCCUCUCUCUUUCUUUCUUUCUCUUUCUCCCUCCCUCUCUCUUUCUUUCUUUCUUUCUCUCCUUUCUUUUUUUUCUCACUCUGUCACUCAGGCUGGAGUGCAGUGGUGCAGUCUCAGCUCACUGCAACCUCUGCCUCCCAGGUUCAAGCGAUUGUCCUGCCUCAGCCUCCCCAGUAGCUGGGAUUACAGCCAUGUGCCACCAUGCCCAGGUAAUUUUUGUAUUUUUGGUUGAGAAGGGGGUUUCACCAUGUUGGCUAGGCUGGUCUGGAACUUCUGACCUCAAGUGAUCCACCUGCCUCAGCCUCCCAAAGUACUGGGAUUCCAGGAGUAAGCCACUGCACCUGGCCUCUGUUCAUUUUCUUAUGCUAUUUCUGGCACCAAUAUAUGAAAAGUAGUAAUUAUAAUGAAAAUACAUAGCUUUUACUUAGCACUAGCCCUCUGCCAGAUACUGUGCUUUAUCUCAUUUAAUUCUCAAAACAAAAACAAGAUGAAAGAAUGUGUUAGGUACUUCUAUUUAGCCUGCUGGCACAUAAGAGGAAAUUACAGCUUGGAGAGGUUAAAUAAUUUCCCAAGGUCACACAGAUAAUUGAAAUAACCUGAAACUUAAACUCAGAUCUUUCCGCUUGUUCAUAUUCUUGUUCUUAGUCACAAUGCUAUAUUGCUUUCACCUUACUUGUCUUUGUUGUCUCUCUGUCAUUAUCUGUUGAAAUUGUUUUUUUCCCAGUCUAAAUUUUUAUGUUAUUCAUAACAUGUGUUCUAGUCUUUUAACCCAGAAACAUUUUUUUUGGCCUCUAAUAUCUCACUGACCCCAGCAGAACACCUGGUACUUCAUGAUAAAUAGCCAAUAUAUGUUUUAAAUAAAGGAGAUGGAUAUUUAAGUUGGAGCCUAGGUAUCUGGUUCUUUUAUUUCACAAUUGCUGUAAAGAGAAAAAUAAAAAUUGUUCAGUAUUUUCCAGAAAAUAAGCACUCUAUAAAUAUUUGUUAAAUUUAAUGAAUUGCUGAAAAUUCAAUAAAUCAACUUCUUACGUGUCUACUUCUCUUUCAACUGUCCUUAUGCAGACCAUAGCUAUAUGUGUAAUAGCAAAAUGUCAAAUCAUUUACCCAUUAUAUGUGGAAUACCCAUUACUUUCUGUGUGGAUUGUGCAGGUGAGCAGACCUGGGGGUCUAUUUGUUCUGUAAUUGAUAGCAGAAAAGGGCCUAGUCUUAAAUGUUUCCAGGGGAAUUCAGAAUUUCCAGCCACACAACCAACUGUAACUAUGGCUUUCCUUCCACAGAGGUGCUGUUUUGUGGGCUUUCAGACUGAAAACAAAUCUGUUUCAUGGUAUGUCUGUUUUGUCUGUCCUCAAAUGUGCGUGGUACUUAAGAAUAGCAAGGACAGGGCAUGAAGGUGGAAAAGAGAGGAGAAGCAGCAGCAAUGAGGAGAAGAUGAAGGGCAAUGAUGGGGACGAGAUUAAAUUAAAUGCCAGAGCUCCCAGCCCUUAGAGGCUGUUGCGGAUGCUGUUGCCCUGAGUUAGCAACAUAAAUCAAUAAGUCAGAUCCGGCUGAACUCCGGUGCCCCGCAAGUUCUAUUCAAAUCAGGAAUUCUAGGAUUCUAUUUUAUAAAAAACUUUUAAAAAUGUUUGGACAUAGGUCAUGUUAUCAAUAGCAGAGUUUCUCAGACAAGAGUAUGUGAACAUUUUCCUGUGCGUGUGUAUUCUCCAAGAAAAUAAUCCAUUUUAUAAUUACAUUUUGAUUAUAGCCCUAAAAAAGUAAUCUAUGCAUGUCUGGGUUAUCUGGGCCUCCUAAUGCAGUUUAAUCAUGCAAUUUUUGUAGCACACUUUUGAUGAAUUAAUAAUCUGAUUAGACGGAGGCAGUGCUAUUUAUUUAUCUUGAGUUAAUGGGAAAAGGCUAGGUUUGUCCUCCAUAUGUAACCGAGGUAUUGCUGUGUGUUCCCCAUAUGUACUCUACCUAAAUAACUCAGGCAUGUGCCUAUUUGUGCUCCAUAUGUGCACCACAUGUAUAACUUAGGUGUGUGUCUGUACGUUUUCCAUGGAUUAUGUAUGUAAUUCUGAUGUGUGUCUGUGUUUCCUGUGUGUGCUGUGUAUGUAACUUAUGUGUGAGCCUGUAUGUGUACUACAUGUAUAACUCAGGUGUGUGCCUGCAUUGAUUGCAUAUGUGCACUAUUUAUGUAACUCAAGUGCGUGUACAUGUUUUAUAUGUGCACUGCAUGUAUAACUCAGAUGUAUGCUUGCAUGUGUUUCCUAUGUGCACUAAACAUGUAACUCAGGCAUUGCUCUUAUGUUCCCCCUAUGUGCACUAAAUAUAUAACUUAAACAUGUAUCAUACCACUGAUUUUACAAAAGUUGGAAUAGACAAAAAUUUUGAGAGUAUUAUAUGUAUAGACAUGUCAAACUUUACGUGUGCCUGUGUACUAUCAUAUUCACACUGAGAAUUAUAACUUACUUUCAGUGAAAUAAUGUGUUUAUUCAUAGCAAUGUUAUUGAUUUUCACACUACUUUAAAGAUUUUGAUUGCUUUUAAUGUAUAAAUUAAUUUUUAGUUUUAUAGUUGUUGUAAAAGAACCAUGAGGAUAGGGCAGGCAGAUUAUACCUAGUGGCAUAUAUUAAUAUUGUUGUAAAAAUAAGUUGUCAACAUUGGCAGUCAGUGAGAUCUUUUUCCUUUACAAGAGAUCUUUACAUUACUAAGUUUGAAAAGAAAAAAAAAAACUAUACCGUUUGAUUUUGAAGUACAUAUAAGUUCUAAUCUGUUGACCCCAAUAAGCCGUCUUAAGAGAAAAUAUUUCUGUUACCUAGGGAAAUGCUGAGCUUAUAAGUGGCAGUAUUCCAUUUAUUAUUAGAGUAGCUGCUUUCUGUUUUGUAAACUAUCAGCUUUAGUUAUUGAAUCAUAUAUAUAUUUUUUUAACCUGGAAAAAAAAUCACAUCAUGUUAAUGCUGGUAAAUUUUUGAGCUGCACUCAAGGAAAUGUGGCCAGGCAAUGAACUUUGGGUCACCAAAUCUAUUAAAUGUACUUUUAUUAUUAUUAUUAUUAUUUUCAUUUGGUUAAAUACAGCAUGUUAAUAGCAUGAAGAGGCCCUAUCAAACACUUUUUCCUUCUUUUGGUGUGAAAGGGUUAAACAGUGACUUCACAACAUUGCAGUCACUUCCACAUGUAUUAUCUCAUAUCAUCGCAGUAAUGCUGUGAAGAUGAUGUCAUCUCAGCUCCAUACAUGACACAUUUGUGAGCCAAGGGACUGAGUGAAUUGUGCCAAUCAUAAAUCUGGUGGAUCCAUCUCCAAAUACAGGUGUUCCAGCUUCAAGCUUUGGGCUCCUUUCACUAUAUCAUGUGGCUCCUCUAAAUUAAAUUUAAACUAAUUUCCUGAUAGAUAAAUUUAUCUAGAGAAGGUGUAAUAUUAACUCAUAUGGAGAUCUUUAAGAGAUACAUUUCUCAUCCUGUAUCUGAUAUAGUUUAUUAUUGUGAGUAUAGAAUAUACAUAUAUUUCUGCUGACUGCCAGAAAAGAUUUAGAUAAAACACAAGAAUAUAAAACAGGUCUUUUAACAUGGAUUAAAAUGUGAAAGUCAAGUAAUAGAGGAAGAAAAUAAGGCUCGGCCUUCAAGAAUUUAUGCCACCGUCUCUUAAUUUUUCUUUCCACUGUCUCGUGGCCUGUCCAAAAUCAAUACAGUAUAAAUAAAAAUAUCGUUUUCCUGUUACCUUUCUUCUCAUGAACAUAAGGCCUCAGAACUAUGAAAGAAAAUGGAUGAGAACAAUUCCUUUUUAUCUUUUGUUUUUUUCUUAUUAUGAUGAUUAUUUUAGCUUUAUGUUCUUUCUGAGCUUAAAGAUGAGACAUGUGCUUUGUAGAGAAUUUGGAAAAAUAUGAAGAAUCAGGAAAUGUGUUUAUUAUUCCAGCAAUAGUAAUUUCUUAGUGUAUUUUUAAAAAUAAGUUUUUAGUUUACCUGAGAACAUAUGCUUUCUUUACUUGACAUUUUUAAUGUUAUUAAAUUCCCUAUAUUAUUAGAAAGCUUUUAUGUUUAAUGGCCACAAAAUAUUCUACCAUAUUGAUAUAUUCUGUCUUAUUUAAGCAUCUACCUAAUAUUGAAUACUUGAGUGAUGUCCAGUUUCUCACUGUUAUUAUAAAUGAUGCACGUCUGUGCAUAACUUUUAUGGGCAUUUUGGCAUAUGGUAGUUUCUAAGAAGACUUAAUAGGCCAAAAGAGAUGAAUAUUCUAAAUUAUUUUGAUGAACAUUACCAAAUUUAUUUCUAAACUCUCAUACCAAUCCAUACCCCUGUCCACAACAUCAGAGUGCAUGUAUUUCAUGGUGCCCUCAUCUGCACAGAUGUUCUUGUUAAUUUCUUUCAUUUGAUAGGCAAAUGCUGCAUCACAUUGAUUUAAUUUGCAUUAUUUAAAAAAUUGAACUAUUACUGCUCAUAUUUACUAGUCAUAUCUAUUCUUCUUUUGAAAAUUGUCCAACUAAUCUUCUUAACUCUCCACUAUCAUUCAUCACCACUCUACUUCAGGAAAAUAGAAUCACGAAAAUUAAAGACAUUUAGAGCUGCAAUCAGCAUGAUCAAUCCCUCACUAUACAUGUGACUCUAGAUACAUUCAGGGACUGGACCACGAGCCCAUCCCUGGGAAGCUGAGUGACUGAGUAAUAUGUGCCUCUAAGCCUUCUGCCUGUCUUUAUUGUCUCCUCCUCCUUGUUUUUACUGCCCUCCCCCACCUUUCUUCCAUGCACCCUUCCUUGUGAUGAUGUUCUCUCCUCAGUGUAAAUGUUUUGACAUCUUUGUAGUAUCCUGGGAUUAGUAGGCUUGCAUGUGAACCUGGAAACGGAAGUCAGUACUGGCCUUUGUUCCAGGUUGUCUGAUGUCCCAUCCCCACCUUCUCUUACCCAUGGCUGUGUGUCUACGAGUACAGCAGGGGCUCCAUUACCAAGUCCCCUGAGUGACAGGAACUCAGUGAUUUCACAAGACUCCUGCAGAAUGUGCAAAGAAGGCUAAGUGUUCUAUUCAUUGUAUUUCUUGCUAUUUACUUUACCUCCUAGAAGGACAUUCAUGGUUAAAAUGUACCCAGCACCCUGUAUGAUGAGCCAACUGGGUGAGCAUCUGUGUGGUUCCUGGUCAGUCCUCACAGCAACACCGCAAAGGAGAUGCGAUGGUUCUUAUUUUACAUCUGAGCCCUAGGGAACUGUGUCCCACAUCUUAGACUAUUUUCCCGCCAUUACAUAGCUAAUAAGGAGAGAGGGCUUGAAUCUAGGUCUGUCUGAUUCCCAAGCCUGGCAUGGCCUCUCUGCUGUAUUUCUUUGCCAAUCUGGCAGUGGGUAGGGAAAUCUCAGCUUGUGCCUUUUCUAUGCUAAUGUGACCCAUGGACUGACUCACAUGGGGUGGGAGCAAAGGUUAAAUGCACCUUCCAUUCUGACAGCAAAUGACUGAGUUCAUUGAGGAACAGGGGCAAGUCUGGGGUUCUUAUUCCCAGCGUAUGGUAGACGCUUAACAACUAUUUGUUAUUACUGAAUGAAAGAUGCUUUUCAUUAAGCUACCUGUUUCUCUCAUGUAAAAGUAGGGUUACCUAGUCUAUAUGGCAGGGACAAUCUGGCAGUACUUAUUCUGCUUUAUAAUGACUUUGUCUUUCUUUAGCAAUUGAUUUAUGCUCUCUUAACUUUCCAUUCUUCAAAAUGAGGCUACCAAACUGCAAGUGUUGUGAUUAAGAUGAAUAUGUUUUGAACUCAUAGAAAACAUGAUUAACUUUACUGAAAAUAUAAUAGAAAUUUUGAAUUCUAAAAAAAUCCUUAGGGGAAUGAAUUCUGAACAUAUUAUAGGUGGAGUCUUCUUUUAUAGGAAAAUAUUUAUUUUUCUAUUUUUUAUUUUUAAUUUUGCACAUUCCUAUCAAAUGUGUUUUUUAUAUAGCGCUCCAUAGUGACAGUGCUAUGAAGCUACCUGCCUGCAGCCAGGCAAUGUCCUGUCCAUCUCUCUGGGAUGAGUGGGCUUGCUUGUAUUCCAGAAAUUUAAGUCAGCACUCACCUUUGUUCCAGGUUAUCUAAUAUCUCAUUCUGAACCCAUACUUAACAUACACUUGCUGUCCCAACUACACUAUACUAUGGUGGCACAUCACAAGCUUCACAAAUCAAGUUUUUAGAUGCACGAGUACAGUCAUAGGAAGAAUGGAUAUGUUUCUUUUAAUUCUUUCUGAGAACUAGAACUAUACAAAUCUUUAUAAUCAAUCUACUUCUGUAAUCUGAACUUCAAUAAACCAUUUGGCAAGAAAUGUAGUAUUUAUAAAUGGAAGAGCCACAUUAAGUAUUUUCCUUUUAACAAACUUGAAAUUUGCUAACACUCAAAACCAGAGGUCAACAAAUUUUGUAAAGAACAAAAUAGUAAAUAUUUUAGACUUUAUGGGCCAAGAUGCAAAAUCAAACACAUUAUGUAGGUACUUACCUAAGAAGAGAGAAAACAAAU